Molecule: ribosomal RNA, 180 nt
Filed under: Alishewanella fetalis
Lineage: Bacteria; Pseudomonadati; Pseudomonadota; Gammaproteobacteria; Alteromonadales; Alteromonadaceae
Description: partial 16S ribosomal RNA
Rfam family: Bacterial small subunit ribosomal RNA
Source: RNAcentral
CCUACGGGAGGCAGCAGUGGGGUUUAUUGGACAAUGGACGCAAGCCUGAUCCAGCCAUGCCGCGUGUGUGAAGAAGGCCUUAGGUUUGUAAAGUCACUUUCAGUGGGGAGGAAGGGUGUUGUGUUAAUAGCACAGCAUUUUGACGUUACCCACAGAAGAAGCACCGGCUAACUCAUCUGG